CCUACGGGCGGCAGCAGUGGGGAAUAUUGCACAAUGGGGGAAACCCUGAUGCAGCGACGCCGCGUGAGUGAAGAAGUAAUUCGUUAUGUAAAGCUCUAUCAUCAGUGAAGAAAAUGACGGUACCUGGGUAAUAAGCCCCGGCUAACUACGUGCCAGCAGCCGCGGGAAUACGUAGGGGACAAGCGUUACCCGGAUUUUCUGGGUGUAAGGGGAGUGUGGACGGCAGUGCAGGUAAGGAGGGAAAGGGGGGGGCUCAACCCACGGAAUGCUUUGGAAAGUGUACGCCUUGAGUGCAGGAGAGGUGAGUGGAAUUCCUAGUGUAGCGGUGAAAUGCGUAGAUAUUAGGAGGAACACCAGUGGCGAAGGCGGCUUACUGGACUGUAACUGACGUUGAGGCUCGAAAGCGUGGGGAGCAAACAGGAUUAGAUACCCUUGUAGUC
RNAcentral lists this ribosomal RNA (440 nucleotides) under uncultured bacterium. RNAcentral's name for it is "partial 16S ribosomal RNA". It matches the Rfam family "Bacterial small subunit ribosomal RNA", at positions 338 to 795 of the family's 1533-position model. The record is from RNAcentral.